AGAAAGAAAAGAAAUAAUUACUUUUAUUCUGCAUUCAGUUGAUCAAAAGUGACAUUAAAGACAUUUAUAAUAUUACAAAAUAUUUAUUUUCAAAUAAAUGCCUUUCUUUUGAGCUAUCUAUUCAUCAACGAAUCAUGAAAAAAAAAGUAUUAUGUUUUCCACAAAAAAUAAAUAAAUAAUUAAAUAACCGUUUUCAAUAUUAUUUAUAAUAAGAAUCACUAUUAAUAUUUGAGCACCAAUAGUAAAUAGUAUUAGUAGUAAAUGCAGAGAGACUUCUUUCAAAAACUUUAAAUAAUCUUUUAAUUAUUCCAAACUUUUGUCCGGUAGUGUCAUAUAUAUGUAUAUAAAUAUGGUACGUGGUUCUGGCUUUUCUUUUUUGAUGUUAAAAUAUGUUCAGAGUUAAUAUAGCAACCAAAACAAACAACAGCCAACCAGGAUCUGUGAAGCACCUUGCACUUGCACAUGAUUUAGCCGUGUAUGAAAUGAUAAGGCUAUGCUAAUGUGUAGGUGAAUAUGACUGACAGGUGAACGUCCAGGUCAUGUUUACCCCAAAAUUAAAAGAAAUAAGACACUGUUUUAUCUUGUUUGUUUUUUUCUCAUUACCAUAAUGCAAAUAAUAAUAAUAGAUUCUCAUUAUUGUAAUAUAUUUGAACUGUAAAGCAUUUAAAUAUGCUGAUUUAAAUCAUUUUACUUACUGUAAUACAAUAAAAAAAAAAAUACUGUUCAUUAGAAUCGAAUAUGAGAUUUAUUAUUUAGGAUAAUAAGCUUGAGAACAAUGUGGAAAACGUGUUUAAUAUUCAUUAAAAUAAUCUCGCUUCGCAAACGUGCAAAAUAUUCCUAAAUAGACCGUUGAUGCAAAACAGUUUCUUUUUAUUUUGGGUCGAGUUUGACUCGGACGUGUGUUUUUUUUUUUUUUGUGAGAUUCACCUCUAUAUUUGGAAAUGUUUAUUUUCUAUAUGGUUUAUCUGAGUGUUGUUAUGAACCCAUAUGUGUUUGAGUUCUCAGAACCACCUUGGAGGAAGUUCUCCAGGGUUCAGGACUUUGUUUUUGCUGCUAAAACUCAAGGCGCAUUCAGGCCACACAGUAGUUUAUUGGUCUUGGCAGCUCAGAUUGUUGGCUGACGAUGUUUAGUUCCUCUUCCUCCCCUCCUUGUUUUUCAGAAACAUGUCAGAUUUCCACAAUGUACACAGCAAACAUGCAUUAAUUUGAUUCAUUUUAAAUUGUAUAACCACUUGAUUUGUAUGUAGGGUUGGUGCCAGUUGUUUAACAGUGCUCUUUGUCCUUUUUUUUUUUUUUGUUCCAGUCACAUGUAACUGCUGUAAGUUAACUAAGAUAUAUUUAUAAUUUUCAUUGGUUGUAACUUGUAUGUAAAUAUGAAGAUGCU
Molecule: long non-coding RNA, 1384 nt
Organism: Cyprinus carpio carpio
Lineage: Eukaryota; Metazoa; Chordata; Actinopteri; Cypriniformes; Cyprinidae
Source: Ensembl